Molecule: long non-coding RNA, 1013 nt
Organism: Cloeon dipterum
Lineage: Eukaryota; Metazoa; Arthropoda; Insecta; Ephemeroptera; Baetidae
Exons: 3
Source: RefSeq, a predicted model, not a curated record
CAAACGGACCCAUGCUGCCAGCUGCCACCAAAAGGCGGGAUACGGGAUUCCAGUAACCCGUAGCCAAUCAGAUAUGUUUGAUGCGCACAACUAUGGCAGCUGAUUGUGAGCGGCGCGAAAAGACAGAAUUGAAAGAGAACAGUGUAAGACUGGUGUAAGACCUAACGUCCUAACGUAAGACCUUCGACGGCUUCGACCUUCAGUGAGUGCAACGAGGUUCAUGAUCUUCUGGUGGAGUCGAGCCAGCCAAAGCAGUUGCAGUUGUGCGAGGACGGCGGCAACGUGUCGGUUAUGGACCUGAGUUGGCACUGGCCGGCCUCGGCAGAAGAUGCCAUAUCCAUCCUGCAGGCUGGCAACCGGAGAAGGAAUUUCAGUUGGCAUUAUUUAUGGUUCUGGUGACAAUGAAGAAGGGUGCUGCCAGGAGCGGAAAGGUUUGGUGCGCCAAGCUGUCCGUAAUUGACCUUGCAGGGCCAGGGAGGGUGGCUGAUACCACAAACCAGGGUCGCUUCACGGAGGUCGCCAACACCAACCAAUCUCUGCUGGCGCUAGGUAGCUGCAUCAACGGCGGCUGGCGGACUGAAGCAAGUGCCAAUCCGGAACUCUAAGCUGACACGCCUCCUGAAGGGCUCGCUGGGGGCAACAGCAAGACAGUGAUGAUCGCUAAUCUGUUUGUAUAUAAGAAAUUUUGCACAGGCAGACUGACAGGCAUGCCGGCUGAGCAGAAGCAAGUGCCGUCAAGCGACGGCACGACCAAGCCCGGCGUCAUUCGCUUCAUCGCCAACAUCAUUACAGCCCUGAAUGCUCAGCAAGCCCAAGGUGUCAGUGGCCACUCCGAAGCCCCAGGCUGCAGUGAAACCAGCAGUCAGGCCAAAACCAAGCACCCGUUGCGGUCAAACCCAAAGAUCAAUCAGACAAGCCGGAGGCACUAUGGGUUAGUAAGCCGGACCUGACCAGCUUCUCGCAGGAGGAGACCAAUAUGGCAGACUCUCACAAUCAGGAUUACAAAAAACGCA